CUCCGGCUCUAAAAAGCGACUGUCUCCUCCUCGCAAACGCUGCGCAGUUUUGGUUUCCUUGGGAAGUGACGUAAGAAGACGGCGGGACUGCUAACCGCAGAGUGAGGACUAGAUCCACCAGGUACAACUUUUGAAUAGACAGUAUGACUUACGUGCAGUACUGCUGUGGGAUGCCACAGUGAGAUCCAUAACGGGACAGAAAUCUGUUCUCAAGAUCAAUUAUGGUUUCACCUACUUUUUCAUCACGAGUCAAUGUGUCGUAGUCAUAG
This 269-nucleotide long non-coding RNA is filed under the name Gallus gallus (chicken). Lineage: Eukaryota; Metazoa; Chordata; Aves; Galliformes; Phasianidae. The record is from RNAcentral.